Molecule: ribosomal RNA, 912 nt
Filed under: Oidiodendron flavum
Lineage: Eukaryota; Fungi; Ascomycota; Leotiomycetes; Myxotrichaceae
Description: LSU rRNA
Rfam family: Eukaryotic large subunit ribosomal RNA
Source: RNAcentral
GCAUAUCAAUAAGCGGAGGAAAAGAAACCAACAGGGAUUGCCUCAGUAACGGCGAGUGAAGCGGCAACAGCUCAAAUUUGAAAUCUGGCCCCCCUCGGGGCCCGAGUUGUAAUUUGUAGAAGAUGCUUCGGGUGUGGCCCCGGUCUAAGUUCCUUGGAACAGGACGUCAUAGAGGGUGAGAAUCCCGUAUGUGACCGGUGGCCUCCCCCGUGUGAAGCUCUUUCGACGAGUCGAGUUGUUUGGGAAUGCAGCUCAAAAUGGGUGGUAAAUUUCAUCUAAAGCUAAAUAUUGGCCAGAGACCGAUAGCGCACAAGUAGAGUGAUCGAAAGAUGAAAAGCACUUUGGAAAGAGAGUUAAACAGUACGUGAAAUUGUUGAAAGGGAAGCGCUUGCAACCAGACUUGCGCGCGGCCGAUCAUCCGGUGUUCGCACCGGUGCACUCGGUCGCGCUCAGGCCAGCAUCGGUUUGGGUGGCUGGAUAAAGGCCUCGGGAAUGUGGCUCCCCUCGGGGAGUGUUAUAGCCCGAGGUGCAAUGCAGCCUACCCGGACCGAGGACCGCGCUUCGGCUAGGAUGCUGGCGUAAUGGUUGUAAGCGACCCGUCUUGAAACACGGACCAAGGAGUCUAACAUCUAUGCGAGUGUUUGGGUGUCAAACCCAUACGCGUAAUGAAAGUGAACGGAGGUGAGAACCCUUAAGGGUGCAUCAUCGACCGAUCCUGAUGUCUUCGGAUGGAUUUGAGUAAGAGCAUAGCUGUUGGGACCCGAAAGAUGGUGAACUAUGCCUGAAUAGGGUGAAGCCAGAGGAAACUACUGGUGGAGGCUCGCAGCGGUUCUGACGUGCAAAUCGAUCGUCAAAUUUGGGCAUAGGGGCGAAAGACUAAUCGAACCAUCUAGUAGCUGGUUCCUGCCGAAG